GGGUAUUUAGUUUAGUGGCACAAGUGCCUGCCUGGCAAGCAUGAGGUCGUGAGUUCAAUUCCUGAUACCCC
RNAcentral lists this transfer RNA (71 nucleotides) under Cavia porcellus (domestic guinea pig). It matches the Rfam family "tRNA". From Rfam's summary of the family: Transfer RNA (tRNA) molecules are approximately 80 nucleotides in length. Their secondary structure includes four short double-helical elements and three loops (D, anti-codon, and T loops). The record is from Rfam by way of RNAcentral. Lineage: Eukaryota; Metazoa; Chordata; Mammalia; Rodentia; Caviidae.